Cyanistes caeruleus (blue tit) is the source of this 2201-nucleotide long non-coding RNA. The record is from Ensembl. Lineage: Eukaryota; Metazoa; Chordata; Aves; Passeriformes; Paridae.
ACCCCAGAAAUGGGGUCAGGAACCCCAAAAACGGGGUCAGGAACCCCAAAAACAGGUCAGGAACACCAAAAACGGGAUCAGGAACCCCAAAAACGGGGUCAGGAACCCCAAAAACGGGGUCAGGAACACCAGAAAUGGGGUCAGGAACACCAGAAAUGGGUCAGGAACACCAGAAAUGGGUCAGGAAACCCAGAAAUGGGUCAGGAACCCCAAAAACGGGGUCAGGAACCCCAAAAACGGGGUCAGGAACACCAAAAACGGGGUCAGGAACCCCAAGAAAUGGAAUCGCACUGGCCGCAGUCCUCGGGGCGCCGGCACGCCUCGCACUCGCCACACAUGCGGGCAGAGCGCUUGAUCUGCGCCAGAAACGGGGUCAGGAACCCCAAAAACGGGGUCAGGAACCCCAAAAACGGGGUCAGGAACACCAAAAACGGGGUCAGGAACACCAGAAAUGGGUCAGGAACCCCAAAAACGGGGUCAGGAACACCAGAAAUGGGAUCAGGAACACCAGAAAUGGGUCAGGAACCCCAAAAAUGGGAUCAGGAACACCAGAAACGGGGUCAGGAACACCAGAAAUGGGUCAGGAACACCAGAAACGGGGUCAGGAACACCGGAAAUGGGAUCAGGAACACCGGAAAUGGGGUCAGGAACCCCAAAAAUGGGAUCAGGAACCCCAAAAACGGGGUCAGGAACACCAGAAAUGGGGUCAGGAACACCAGAAAAUGGGGUCAGGAACACCAGAAAUGGGUCAGUAACCCCAAAAACGGGGUCAGAAACCUCAAAAACGGGGUCAGAAACCUCAAAAACGGGGUCAGGAACCCCAGAAAUGGGUCAAGAACACCAAAACUGGUUCUGAAUAACAAGAUCCGAAACCCCGAAACCCGAGAGCUGGAACCGAGUCCAGAACCGAGUCCAGAACCGAGUCCAGAACCGAGUCUAGAACCGAGUCCGGAACCGAGUCCAGAACCGAGUCCAGAACCGAGUCCAGAACCGAGUCUAGAACCGAGUCCGGAACCGAGUCUAGAACCGAGUCCGGAACCGAGUCUAGAACCCCGAAACCUAGAACCGAGUCUAGAACCGAGUCUAGAACCCCGAAACCUAGAACCGAGUCUAGAACCCCGGAACCUAGAACCGAGUCUAGAACCGAGUCUAGAACCCCGGAACCUAGAACCGAGUCUAGAACCGAGUCUAGACCCCCGAGUUCUGGAACCCCGGAAAGCCCAGAAUCGAGUCUAGGGCCCCGGAAAUCCGAGACCUGGAACCCCGAAAACCAAGUCUGGGACCCCGGAACCGGCGACUGAGAGCCCCAAAAAACGAGAUUGAGAACCCCGAAAACGGCGAUCCUGAACCCCGAAAAACGGGAUCCGGACCCCCGGAAAUGGGGUCAGGAACCCCAAAAAUGGGGUCAGGCACCCCCAAAAUGGGGUUAGGAACCCCAAAAAUGGAGUCAGGAACCCCAAAAAUGGGAUUAGGUGCCCCAAAAUGGGAUCAGGAACCCCAAAAAUGGGAUUAAGUGCCCCAAAAAUGGGGUCAGGUACCCCAAAACUGAGUCAGGUACCCCAAAAAUUGAGGUACCCCAAAAAUGGAGUCAGGAGCCCCAAAAAUGGGGUCAGGAACCCCAAAACUGACUCAGGUACCCCAAAAAUGGAGUCAGGAACCCAAAAAAUGGGGUCAGGUACCCCAAAAAUGGGGUUAGGAACCCCAAAAAUGGGGUCAGGUACCCCAAAAAUGGAGGUACCCCAAAAAUGGAGUCAGGAGCCCCAAAAAUGGAGUCAGGAACCCCAAAACUGACUCAGGUACCCCAAAAAUGGGGUCAGGUACCCCAAAAAUGGGGUUAUGAACCCCAAAAAUGGGGUUAGGUGCCCCAAAAAUGGGGUCAGGUACCCCCAAAAACUGAGGAACCCCAAAACCAGAUCAAGAACCCCAAAAAUCCAUCUGGGGCACCCCAAAACACACGCAGGGAACCCCAAGCCGGGUGCAAUCCCAGACCCCUCAGGGAUCCCCCAAAUCCCCCCCAGCAAAAUCCUCAUCCUAAAGGGCCUGGGGCCCCUCCCAGCCCCCCCAGGUUUUGGGGUGUCCCCUGUGAUUUUUUGGGGUGCCCUGAGCCCCCCCAAGCCCACCUUGGCAGCUCGGCCCUGCUCCAGCUCCUGGCCCUUGGUGCCCUCGUGCUCCUUCUCCCUCCACUUCUUGUGCCGGUACCG